AGAAAGGUGACUGAGUGGCUUAAGGUGGGCAUCAUCCGAAAGGGAAUGCUUUCUAGUUAAUAGCUGGACGCAAGUUCGAAUCCUGUCCUUUCUC
RNAcentral lists this transfer RNA (94 nucleotides) under Alcanivoracaceae bacterium. RNAcentral describes it as "tRNA-OTHER". It matches the Rfam family "tRNA". From Rfam's summary of the family: Transfer RNA (tRNA) molecules are approximately 80 nucleotides in length. Their secondary structure includes four short double-helical elements and three loops (D, anti-codon, and T loops). Further hydrogen bonds mediate the characteristic L-shaped molecular structure. tRNAs have two regions of fundamental functional importance: the anti-codon, which is responsible for specific mRNA codon recognition, and the 3' end, to which the tRNAs corresponding amino acid is attached (by aminoacyl-tRNA synthetases). tRNAs cope with the degeneracy of the genetic code in two manners: having more than one tRNA (with a specific anti-codon) for a particular amino acid; and 'wobble' base-pairing, i.e. permitting non-standard base-pairing at the 3rd anti-codon position. The record is from RNAcentral. Lineage: Bacteria; Pseudomonadati; Pseudomonadota; Gammaproteobacteria; Oceanospirillales; Alcanivoracaceae.